UACCAGCACCCCGAGUGGUCGUGACGAUUAUUGGGCCUAAAGCAUGCGUAGCCGGUUUUACAAGUCCUCCGUUAAAUCCAACUGCUUAACAGAUGGGCCGCGGAGGAUACUACAAGUCUAGGAGGCAGGAGAGGCAAGCGGUACUCAGUGGGUAGGGGUAAAAUCCGUUGAUCCAUUGAAGACCACCAGUGGCGAAGGCGGCUUGCCAGAAUGCGCUCGACGGUGAGGGAUGAAAGCUGGGGGAGCAAACCGG
This 253-nucleotide ribosomal RNA is filed under the name uncultured bacterium. RNAcentral's name for it is "partial 16S ribosomal RNA". It matches the Rfam family "Archaeal small subunit ribosomal RNA", at positions 474 to 727 of the family's 1478-position model. The record is from RNAcentral.